GUCCACGCUGUAAACGAUGAGUGCUAGAUGUAGGGGUUUUAUACUUCUGUGUCGCAGCUAACGCGUUAAGCACUCCGCCUGGGGACUACGGUCGCAAGACUAAAACUCAAAGGAAUUGACGGGGACCCGCACAAGCGGUGGAGCAUGUGGUUUAAUUCGAUGCAACGCGAAAACCUUACCACUCCUUGACAUGAAGGUCAUACGCUUCUUAAGGGAAGCGGUCAUUUAGUUGGACCUUACACAGGUGCUGCAUGGCUGUCGU
This 262-nucleotide ribosomal RNA is filed under the name uncultured bacterium. RNAcentral's name for it is "partial 16S ribosomal RNA". It matches the Rfam family "Bacterial small subunit ribosomal RNA", at positions 793 to 1055 of the family's 1533-position model. The record is from RNAcentral.